GAUGAACGCUGGCGGCGUGCUUAACACAUGCAAGUCGAACGAAGCACUUUAUUUGAUUUCCUUCGGGACUGAUUAUUUUGUGACUGAGUGGCGGACGGGUGAGUAACGCGUGGGUAACCUGCCUUGUACAGGGGGAUAACAGUUGGAAACGGCUGCUAAUACCGCAUAAGCGCACGGCAUCGCAUGAUGCAGUGUGAAAAACUCCGGUGGUAUAAGAUGGACCCGCGUUGGAUUAGCUAGUUGGUGAGGUAACGGCCCACCAAGGCGACGAUCCAUAGCCGACCUGAGAGGGUGACCGGCCACAUUGGGACUGAGACACGGCCCAAACGCCUACGGGAGGCAGCAGUGGGGAAUAUUGCACAAUGGGCGAAAGCCUGAUGCAGCGACGCCGCGUGAGCGAAGAAGUAUUUCGGUAUGUAAAGCUCUAUCAGCAGGGAAGAUAAGGACGGUACCUGACUAAGAAGCACCGGCUAAAUACGU
Molecule: ribosomal RNA, 480 nt
Filed under: uncultured bacterium
Lineage: Bacteria
Description: partial 16S ribosomal RNA
Rfam family: Bacterial small subunit ribosomal RNA
Source: RNAcentral